AUUGAACGCUGGCGGAGUGCUUUACACAUGCAAGUCGAGCGGCAGCGNGGNGGGCAACCCUGGCGGCGAGCGGCGAACGGGUGAGUAAUACAUCGGANCGUGUCCUUAAGUGGGGGAUAGCUCGGCGAAAGCCGANUUAAUACCGCAUAAGCUCUGAGGAGGAAAGCGGGGNCCCGUCAAGGACCUCGCGCUGCUGGAGCGGCCGAUGUCGGAUUAGCUAGUUGGUGGGGUAAAGGCUCACCAAGGCGACGAUCCGUAGCUGGUCUGAGAGGAUGAUGAGCCACACUGGAACUGAGACACGGUCCAGACUCCUACGGGAGGCAGCAGUGGGGAAUUUUGGACAAUGGGGGCAACCCUGAUCCAGCCAUUCCGCGUGAGUGAAGAAGGCCUUCGGGUUGUAAAGCUCUUUCGGACGGAACGAAAUGGUUACGGUUAAUAACCGUGACUNAUGACGGUACCGUAAGAAGAAGCACCGGCUAACUACGUGCCAGCAGCCGCGGUAAUACGUAGGGUGCGAGCGUUAAUCGGAAUUACUGGGCGUAAAGCGUGCGCAGGCGGCGGCUCAAGUCAGGUGUGAAAUCCCCGGGCUUAACCUGGGAAUUGCGCUUGAAACUAGGUCGCUAGAGUGUGGCAGAGGGGGGUGGAAUUCCACGUGUAGCAGUGAAAUGCGUAGAGAUGUGGAGGAACACCGAUGGCCGAAGGCAGCCCCCUGGGUCAACACUGACGCUCAGGCACGAAAGCGUGGGGAGCAAACAGGAUUAGAUACCCUGGUAGUCCACGCCCUAAACGAUGUCG
This 795-nucleotide ribosomal RNA is filed under the name uncultured Lake Michigan sediment bacterium LMRTGA14. Its description in RNAcentral is "bacterial SSU rRNA". It matches the Rfam family "Bacterial small subunit ribosomal RNA", at positions 28 to 814 of the family's 1533-position model. The record is from RNAcentral. Lineage: Bacteria; Pseudomonadati; Pseudomonadota; Betaproteobacteria.